UACGUAGGGACCGAGCGUUGUCCGGAAUUAUUGGGCGUAAAGAGCGUGUAGGCGGCCUUUUAAGUCCUGCGUGAAAUCCUGCGGCUCAACCGCAGACGGUCGUGGGAAACUGGAAGGCUAGAGUGCGGGAGAGGAGAGUGGAAUUCCCGGUGUAGCGGUGAAAUGCGCAGAUAUCGGGAAGAACACCCGUGGCGAAGGCGGCUCUCUGGAACGCAACUGACGCUGAGACGCGAAAGCGUGGGGAGCAAACAGG
This 253-nucleotide ribosomal RNA is filed under the name uncultured bacterium. RNAcentral describes it as "partial 16S ribosomal RNA". It matches the Rfam family "Bacterial small subunit ribosomal RNA", at positions 524 to 776 of the family's 1533-position model. The record is from RNAcentral.